UGAAAUAGCUUUAUUGAUUGG
This 21-nucleotide non-coding RNA is filed under the name Caenorhabditis elegans. The record is from RNAcentral. Lineage: Eukaryota; Metazoa; Nematoda; Chromadorea; Rhabditida; Rhabditidae.